UCGUCAUCAACCCGCAAGAAUGCAACAGCAGUCAAUUCUUUGGUCUGUUCAUUCUGCAAAUUCCAAACUCCAUCUCUGGUAUUGCUGAAUGCCUCUUGGGUCAUUCUUAUCUUAGGCAGUAUCCGAACUUCAAAUCCACACCUAGAUGACAACAGAAGAUGUAUUAUCAAAUGAAUGCUUUAUUUCAUGAAAAGGAAAUCUUAAGGCGAAUCCCUCAUCAUGCUGGCCUCUUGACAAGGAGGAGAGAAAAGCAAUACAAAGGAAGCAGAACAUAAUGAUAACUUGUCCAGUAAAAAAAUGUUGUCCGCACAUUAAUCCAAAAGUAGAGUGCUAAAUAAGAAAUGCACACAAAUUUCAAUCACACCGGUGCAUAAUUACCUCCACUUAGCGUUGGACAGCAAAACCACAAAAAGAAAAAAAAAAAUAUCUUUUUUUCAAAGCACAAGAACAUUGACCAGUGGUAAUAAGGUCCAUGUCAACACCAUCAACCACCAGAAUUCAUCAAAUUUUCUAUGUAAUGCUUAUGCUGAAUAUCAGAGGUAAAAUAUCCUAAAGAGAUCAACUUGAUAGAAAACAAAAGCUCAGCUCAAAUCAAAAGAAUAAAAGAGUUUGUCCCAAUUACCAUUUAAAAAAAAGAAAGAAAAAAUCAAGGUGUCGAUUGACGAUUAAAGUAUACUUUUUUUUUCUGCAGAAUGCAUAAAAAAAAUUGUAGACACUGAAUGUAAGAAAAUGAACAUACAUGCUGAAAAGCAAGUUUGGAUUGUCCUUGCUGUAUACAGAUACAAAGCUGUUCUCCCACUCUAAUGUUGUGAUACUUCGAGGAAGACGAUUCUUCAUAUCCCAGAACACACUUCUCCCAAGAUUGACUGAAAAGCAGAUAUAAAGGAUUAAGUGUCAUCAAAAUCUAAUGAAGAUCAUUUUGAAGUAGAUAGUUUUGUUACAAAGGUGUCAGUGUAUACCAUCAUGUUUCAUGAGCCUCAUUCUGGCAUCUCUUGGCCAACACUUCUUAUUGUUAUAUCCAACCAUAUUUUCAUUGUUUGGAUCAGGAUGCUCAGUGAGAUACCGCUGAAUAAGAU
This 1076-nucleotide long non-coding RNA is filed under the name Vitis vinifera (wine grape). RNAcentral describes it as "long non-coding RNA (VVIN_LNC002821)". Lineage: Eukaryota; Viridiplantae; Streptophyta; Magnoliopsida; Vitales; Vitaceae. The record is from RNAcentral.